This 266-nucleotide long non-coding RNA is filed under the name Astyanax mexicanus (Mexican tetra). RNAcentral's name for it is "lncRNA (ENSAMXG00005006130.1)". The record is from RNAcentral. Lineage: Eukaryota; Metazoa; Chordata; Actinopteri; Characiformes; Acestrorhamphidae.
ACAGUCAAUGGCUGAAACUACUGAGGAAAGUCAAAGAGGGUGUGACGUCACCGCUGACCCUGCAGCGGCAGCAAAGCAUCGUCCCCUGCAUCACAGACAGAGACCCUCUUCCAGACACCCCCACUGAGAAAGAGCCCUCCUCGCCUGUCUUCAGCGACAAACCCAUCAACUCCCCGCGUACCCAGUCCAGAGAGAACUCUUUCAGGAGCAGAGGUGCGUAUCAGAGAGGGGGUUUUAUAAUUCUUACAGGAGAAAACUGAGCAGCA